UUUAACGAGAGUUUGAUCCUGGCUCAGGAUGAACGCUGGCGGCGUGCUUAACACAUGCAAGUCGAACGAAGCACUUAUCUUUGAUUCUUCGGAUGAAGAGGUUUGUGACUGAGUGGCGGACGGGUGAGUAACGCGUGGGUAACCUGCCUCAUACAGGGGGAUAACAGUUAGAAAUGACUGCUAAUACCGCAUAAGACCACGGAGCCGCAUGGCUCAGUGGGAAAAACUCCGGUGGUAUGAGAUGGACCCGCGUCUGAUUAGGUAGUUGGUGGGGUAACGGCCUACCAAGCCAACGAUCAGUAGCCGACCUGAGAGGGUGACCGGCCACAUUGGGACUGAGACACGGCCCAAACUCCUACGGGAGGCAGCAGUGGGGAAUAUUGCACAAUGGGGGAAACCCUGAUGCAGCGACGCCGCGUGAGCGAAGAAGUAUUUCGGUAUGUAAAGCUCUAUCAGCAGGGAAGAAAAUGACGGUACCUGACUAAGAAGCACCGGCUAAAUACGUGCCAGCAGCCGCGGUAAUACGUAUGGUGCAAGCGUUAUCCGGAUUUACUGGGUGUAAAGGGAGCGUAGACGGCUGUGUAAGUCUGAAGUGAAAGCCCGGGGCUCAACCCCGGGACUGCUUUGGAAACUAUGCAGCUAGAGUGUCGGAGAGGUAAGUGGAAUUCCCAGUGUAGCGGUGAAAUGCGUAGAUAUUGGGAGGAACACCAGUGGCGAAGGCGGCUUACUGGACGAUGACUGACGUUGAGGCUCGAAAGCGUGGGGAGCAAACAGGAUUAGAUACCCUGGUAGUCCACGCCGUAAACGAUGACUACUAGG
RNAcentral lists this ribosomal RNA (819 nucleotides) under Allocoprococcus comes. RNAcentral describes it as "bacterial SSU rRNA". It matches the Rfam family "Bacterial small subunit ribosomal RNA", at positions 1 to 820 of the family's 1533-position model. The record is from RNAcentral. Lineage: Bacteria; Bacillati; Bacillota; Clostridia; Lachnospirales; Lachnospiraceae.